RNAcentral lists this ribosomal RNA (628 nucleotides) under uncultured fungus. RNAcentral describes it as "eukaryotic LSU rRNA". It matches the Rfam family "Eukaryotic large subunit ribosomal RNA", at positions 24 to 664 of the family's 3401-position model. Lineage: Eukaryota; Fungi. The record is from RNAcentral.
CCCGCUGAACUUAAGCAUAUCAAUAAGCGGAGGAAAAGAAACCAACAGGGAUUGCCUCAGUAACGGCGAGUGAAGCGGCAACAGCUCAAAUUUGAAAUCUGGCUCUCUUAGGGCCCGAAUUGUAAUUUGUAGAGGAUGUUUCGGUAUUGCCACUAAUUUAAGUCCCUUGGAACAGGGUGUCAUAGAGGGUGAGAGUCCCGUAUGUGAUUAGUUGUCUUUGCCAUGUGAAACUCCUUCGACGAGUCGAGUUGUUUGGGAAUGCAGCUCUAAUUGGGAGGUAAAUUUCUUCUAAAGCUAAAUACUGGCCAGAGACCGAUAGCGCACAAGUAGAGUGAUCGAAAGAUGAAAAGCACUUUGGAAAGAGAGUUAAACAGUACGUGAAAUUGUUGAAAGGGAAGCGCUUGCAAUCAGACCUGCUUGCAGUUAUUCAUCUAAGCCUUUGGGUUUAGUGCAUUUUUCUGUAAGUCAGGCCAGUAUCAGUUCAGGCGGUUGGAUAAAGAAUUCAGGAAUGUAGCUCCUUUCGGGGAGUGUUAUAGCCUGUUUUGUAAUGCAACCAGCCUGGAUUGAGGACUGCGCUUCGGCUAGGAUACUGGCGUAAUGGUUGUAAGCGGCCCGUCUUGAAACACGG